Molecule: long non-coding RNA, 1534 nt
Filed under: Pogona vitticeps (central bearded dragon)
Lineage: Eukaryota; Metazoa; Chordata; Lepidosauria; Squamata; Agamidae
Description: lncRNA (ENSPVIG00000009220.1)
Source: RNAcentral
CCUCUGAUUGUUCUGUUUCUCAUGGUGCAGCAGUGGUUAUCUGAACAGAACACUCCUUUGCCCCAGCUGCAACCAGCUAGGGAAUUAUACUGUUCAGUAGACAGAGUAAGCAAAAUAUCAUUCUCAUUUUCAUUAAGUCCCCAAGGACCAACACCUUGACAUUUUUUCCUAAUUCAUUUUUUUUGUUUAAAUCCGGUUUCUGAUAUGUUCCAAAUAUAGUGACUUUCCAUGGAAGAUCGUGAACUAAUUUCUUUCUUGCUUUCUUGCUUUUUGGGGGUAUCAUCUAUUUGUCAAGGGAACACGAGGAUACCCGCAGCGCAGCGCUGCAAGAAGCCCAGUCAAGGGAAAUGGUUGUGUCGUCCUUCAUCCCAGGCCUCUCCGAGGAACCAUAGCCUUGGGUCCACAGUGCAUCGCUUACUCCAAGGAGAGUGGAAUAUGGAAAGCUCCUUCACUCAUCUCGAAAGGGAGAAGAAAUGGCUGGAAACGAACCACGCUGAAACCAGGAAGCCGGGAGGAGACCUCAAGGAUAAGUGAGCAGGGUCUUUGCCUUUGAGCAGGGAGGAGGGGGGGCAACUUGAGGACCACUUCCCAAAUUCAGGAGCCCCCUUGAAGCUGUGAGUUCAGGCCUCUGGCAAGAGUGACCUGUCCUUCUCUCAUUUCUCCACAGCCACCUGACUGUGAGAGAGCAAAGACUAAGCGGAUGAUCACACAAAGAAACAGACUGCAGUCGGGACUGCUUGCAGAGUAGUUCUGUGUGGUCUGUUUCCUGGCGAUCACACAACACACCAGAAAAUGUCCUUCAGCUUGACCUCGAUCUGUGCCCAAGCCGAACCUGUUCUGGCCAUAGCUGCAGAGUUCCUGUCUUUUUGGGGGGCCAUUCAAGCCACCCCUUCUGGUGUGAUCAGGCACGCACCUUCGCAGCCAUCUCAAAUCACACCCUGAGUGAAGGCGAAGGGGUGUCAGAAAGAAAAAAAGGGAAGAUCUUAGUUACAUUUUAAGAGGAACUAAUUACACUGCUCAUUACUUCCAAGCAACCACAUUGCUCUCCCUGCUCCAUCUCAGCAAGUAUGUCGUUGCGCUGUGCAUAAAUGAGUGCGUUGCAUGGACUUUAUCACCUGCUGUUAUUUUGGGCUAUCAAGUUGCUUUUGACUUAUGGCAACCGUAUGAAUGGAUGACCUGUAAAAGGCCGUGUCCUUAGCAUCUCUGCUCAGGUCUUAUAAACUAAAGACUGCGAUCCCUGUCUUGAGCUAAUCCAUCUCAUAUUUUGCCUUUCUCUUUUCUUGCUGCCUUCAGCUUUGCCAUUAUUGUCUGUCCCUAUGAGUCUUGUUUUCUCAGGAUGUUUCCAAACUAUGGUAGCCCCAACGCCUUAAUAGUAGAUGUGAAAAAUACAAGGAAACAUUCUCUAGUUCCCUUUAGUGGCCAGUUCUGAUAUCACACCUUGGCAAUAUUUAUAGCAAUGCAGAAGAUGCAACUGGAAAACACACUUCCCUUGCCACCUAGGACUGAUAAGAUGGCAUAAAAUCAUAAUUCUGGU